GACGAACGCUGGCGGCGUGCUUAACACAUGCAAGUCGAACGGCAAGGCCCUGCUUUUGUGCGGUGCUCGAGUGGCGAACGGGUGCGUAACACGUGAGUAACCUGACCUUGACUUUGGGAUAACUUCAGGAAACUGGGGCUAAUACCGGAUAGGAUAUCCUGUUGCAUGGUGGGGGUUGGAAAGUUUCGGCGGUUGGGGCUGGACGGGCGGCUUAUCAGCUUGUUGGUGGGGUAGUGGAUUACCAACGCUUUGACGGGUAGCCGGCCUGGGAGGGUGACCGGCGACAUUGGUACUGAGAUACGGACCAGACUCCUACGGUAGGCAGCAGUGGGGAGUAUUGCACAGUGGGCGGACGCCUGUUGCAGCGGCGCCGGGUGCGGGAUGACGGCCUUCGGGUUGUGAACCGCUUUCGCCUGUGACGAAGCGGGAGUGACGGUAAUGAGUGAAUAAGCACCGGCUAACUACGUG
RNAcentral lists this ribosomal RNA (468 nucleotides) under uncultured bacterium. RNAcentral's name for it is "partial 16S ribosomal RNA". It matches the Rfam family "Bacterial small subunit ribosomal RNA", at positions 28 to 507 of the family's 1533-position model. The record is from RNAcentral.